GACGAAGGGGGCUAGCGUUGUUCGGAAUUACUGGGCGUAAAGCGCGUGUAGGCGGUUGCCCAAGUCGGAUGUGAAAGCCUUGAGCUCAACUCAAGAAAUGCAUUCGGUACUGGGUGACUAGAGGACCGGAGAGGAUAGUGGAAUUCCCAGUGUAGUGGUGAAAUACGUAGAGAUUGGGAAGAACACCAGUGGCGAAGGCGGCUAUCUGGACGGUUUCUGACGCUAAGACGCGAAAGCGUGGGGAGCAAACAGG
This 253-nucleotide ribosomal RNA is filed under the name uncultured bacterium. RNAcentral describes it as "partial 16S ribosomal RNA". It matches the Rfam family "Bacterial small subunit ribosomal RNA", at positions 524 to 776 of the family's 1533-position model. The record is from RNAcentral.